Molecule: ribosomal RNA, 253 nt
Filed under: uncultured bacterium
Lineage: Bacteria
Description: partial 16S ribosomal RNA
Rfam family: Bacterial small subunit ribosomal RNA
Source: RNAcentral
GACGAACCGUGCAACCGUUGUUCGGAAUCACUGGGCUUAAAGGGCGCGUAGGCGGGCCAGCCAGUCUGUGGUGAAAGCCCCCGGCUUAACCGGGGAAGUGCCGUGGAUACUGCUGGCCUCGAGGAGGAUAGGGGCAUCUGGAACGGUCGGUGGAGCGGUGAAAUGCGUUGAUAUCGACCGGAACUCCGGUGGCGAAGGCGAGGUGCUGGGUCCUUUCUGACGCUGAUGCGCGAAAGCCAGGGGAGCAAACGGG